UUUGCUGUGAUGAGACGUAAACACUAGAAAGCCAACUGAUCAAUUGGUUCUUCAGUGAAAUUUACACUUGGCUUCUUAGCUCA
RNAcentral lists this small nucleolar RNA (83 nucleotides) under Triticum aestivum (bread wheat). Its description in RNAcentral is "Small nucleolar RNA R24". It matches the Rfam family "Small nucleolar RNA R24". Rfam says of the family: snoR24 is a C/D box small nucleolar RNA which acts as a methylation guide for 18S ribosomal RNA in plants. The record is from Rfam by way of RNAcentral. RNAcentral also lists the same sequence under 1 other name. Lineage: Eukaryota; Viridiplantae; Streptophyta; Magnoliopsida; Poales; Poaceae.